GACGAACGCUGGCGGCGUGCUUAACACAUGCAAGUCGAACGGAAAGGCCCUGCUUUUGUGGGGUGCUCGAGUGGCGAACGGGUGAGUAACACGUGAGUAACCUGCCCUUGACUUUGGGAUAACUUCAGGAAACUGGGGCUAAUACCGGAUAGGAGCUCCUGCUGCAUGGUGGGGGUUGGAAAGUUUCGGCGGUUGGGGAUGGACUCGUGGCUUAUCAGCUUGUUGGUGGGGUAGUGGCUUACCAAGUCUUUGACGGGUAGCCGGCCUGAGAGGGUGACCGGCCACAUUGGGACUGAGAUACGGCCCAGACUCCUACGGGAGGCAGCAGGGGGGAAUAUUGCACAAUGGGCGGAAGCCUGAUGCAGCGACGCCGCGUGCGGAAUGACGGCUUUCGGGUUGUGAACCGCUUUCGCCUGUGACGAAGCGUGAGUGACGGUAAUGGGUAAAGAAGCACCGGCUAACUACGUG
RNAcentral lists this ribosomal RNA (468 nucleotides) under uncultured bacterium. RNAcentral's name for it is "partial 16S ribosomal RNA". It matches the Rfam family "Bacterial small subunit ribosomal RNA", at positions 28 to 507 of the family's 1533-position model. The record is from RNAcentral.